GCUUACGGCCACACCACCCUGAGCGCGCCCGAUCUCGUCUGAUCUCGGAAAGCAGGGUCGGGCCUGGUUAGUACUUGGAUGGGAGACCGCCUGGGAAUACCAGGUGCCGUAAGCU
This 115-nucleotide ribosomal RNA is filed under the name Lates calcarifer (barramundi perch). Lineage: Eukaryota; Metazoa; Chordata; Actinopteri; Centropomidae. The record is from RNAcentral.